GUAGGUGGCAAGCGUUGUUCGGAAUUAUUGGGCGUAAAGCGCGCGCAGGCGGUUCUUUAAGUCUGAUGUGAAAGCCCACGGCUCAACCGUGGAGGGUCAUUGGAAACUGGAGAACUUGAGUACAGAAGAGGAAAGCGGAAUUCCACGUGUAGCGGUGAAAUGCGUAGAGAUGUGGAGGAACACCAGUGGCGAAGGCGGCUUUCUGGUCUGUAACUGACGCUGAGGCGCGAAAGCGUGGGGAGCAAACAGGAUUAGAUACCCUGGUAGUCCACGCCGUAAACGAUGAGUGCUAAGUGUUAGGGGGUUUCCGCCCCCCUUAGUGCUGCAGCUAACGCAUUAAGCACUCCGCCUGGGAGUACGGCCGCAAGGCUG
RNAcentral lists this ribosomal RNA (372 nucleotides) under uncultured organism. Its description in RNAcentral is "partial 16S ribosomal RNA". It matches the Rfam family "Bacterial small subunit ribosomal RNA", at positions 527 to 896 of the family's 1533-position model. The record is from RNAcentral.